CACGUAGGAGGCAAACGUUAUCCGGAUUUACUGGGCGUAAAGCGCGUGUAGGUGGUUCUGUAAGUAGGGCGUGAAAGCUCCCGGCUCAACUGGGAGAGGCCGUUCUAAACUGCAGAGCUAGAGGAUGGUAGAGGGAGGUGGAAUUCCAGGUGUAGCGGUGGAAUGCGCAGAUAUCUGGAGGAACACCAGUGGCGAAGGCGGCCUCCUGGACCAUUCCUGACACUCAGACGCGAAAGCUAGGGUAGCAAACGGGAUUAGAUACCCCGGUAGUCCCUGA
RNAcentral lists this ribosomal RNA (277 nucleotides) under uncultured prokaryote. RNAcentral's name for it is "partial 16S ribosomal RNA". It matches the Rfam family "Bacterial small subunit ribosomal RNA", at positions 524 to 800 of the family's 1533-position model. The record is from RNAcentral.